Molecule: non-coding RNA, 148 nt
Organism: Caenorhabditis elegans
Lineage: Eukaryota; Metazoa; Nematoda; Chromadorea; Rhabditida; Rhabditidae
Source: Ensembl
ACACAAAAAAUGAUAAACAAAACCUCCGUGGUGAAGCAAGGAGGGGCCGACCAAAAAGAACUGCUAAUACUUUGGUAAGCUGAUCGUGAAAACAGAAAAAGAGUGAGAGACAGGGAGACGGACUCUAACUAAUUCUACGAGUAAAUAA